Molecule: ribosomal RNA, 468 nt
Filed under: uncultured bacterium
Lineage: Bacteria
Description: partial 16S ribosomal RNA
Rfam family: Bacterial small subunit ribosomal RNA
Source: RNAcentral
GACGAACGCUGGCGGCGUGCUUAACACAUGCAAGUCGAACGGAAAGGCCCUGCUUUUGUUGGUUGCUCGAGUGGCGAACGGGUGAGUAACACGUGAGUAACCUGCCCUUGUCUUUGGGAUAACUUCAGGAAACUGGGGCUAAUACCGGAUAGGAGCUCCUGCUGCAUGGUGUGGGUUGGAAAGUUUCGGCGGUUGUGGAUGGACUCGCGGCUUAUCAGCUUGUUGGUGGGGUAGUGGCUUACCAAGGCUUUGACGGGUAGCCGGCCUGAGAGGGUGACCGGGCACAUUGGGACUGCGAUAGGCACCAGACGCCUACGGGAGGCAGCAGUCGAGAAUAUUGCACAAUGGGCGGAAGCCUGAUGUAGCGACGCCGCGUGCGGGAUGACGUCCUUCGGGUUGUAAACCGCUGUCGACUGUGACGAAGCGUGAGUGACGGUAAUGGGUAAAGAAGCACCGGCUAACUACGUG